Molecule: non-coding RNA, 173 nt
Organism: Sturnus vulgaris (Common starling)
Lineage: Eukaryota; Metazoa; Chordata; Aves; Passeriformes; Sturnidae
Source: RefSeq, a predicted model, not a curated record
UGCUGGGAAUAUCCAAAAUUUAAGACUCUGCCAUUCCACAACCUCAAAAUUUGUGCUGGGAAUAUCCAAAAUUAAAACUCUGCCAUUCCACAAUCUCCAAAUUUGUGCAGGGAAUAUCCAAAAUUUAAGACUCUGCCAUUCCACAACGUCAAAAUUUGUGCUGGAAAUAUCCA